This 253-nucleotide ribosomal RNA is filed under the name uncultured bacterium. Its description in RNAcentral is "partial 16S ribosomal RNA". It matches the Rfam family "Bacterial small subunit ribosomal RNA", at positions 524 to 776 of the family's 1533-position model. The record is from RNAcentral.
UACAGAGGGUGCAAGCGUUAAUCGGAAUUACUGGGCGUAAAGCGCACGCAGGCGGUUGGUUAAGUCAGAUGUGAAAGCCCCGGGCUCAACCUGGGAAUUGCAUUUGAAACUGGCCAACUAGAGUACGUGAGAGGGGGGUAGAAUUCCAAGUGUAGCGGUGAAAUGCGUAGAGAUUUGGAGGAAUACCAGUGGCGAAGGCGGCCCCCUGGGCCUGUACUGACGCUCAUGCACGAAAGCGUGGGGAGCAAACAGG